CACACACAGGGAACAGUUAGGAGGAAUACCGUAUAUACACACACACACACACACACACACACACACACACACACACACACACACACACACACACACACACACACACACACGGAACAGUUAGGAGGAAUACCGUAUAUAUACACACACACACACACACACACACACACACACACACACACACACACACACACACACACACACACACACACACACACACACACACACACACACACACACAGGGAACAGUUAGGAGGAAUACCGUAUACACACACACACACACACACAGUACUCAGUCAAGGAAUAGUUAAGACACACAUUUGGUUGGAGCAAAAUCGUGCACUGGUACUGCUGACAUACACACUGAUACUGCUGACAUACACACUGGUACUGCUGACAUACACACUGGUACUGCUGACAUACACACUGGUACUGCUGACAUACACACUGAUACUGCUGACAUACACACUGGUACUGCUGACAUACACACUGGUACUGCUGACAUACACACUUACUGCUGACAUACACACUGGUACUGCUGACAUACACACUGGUACUGCUGACAUACACACUGAUACUGCUGACAUACACACUGGUACUGCUGACAUACACACUGGUACUGCUGACAUACACACUGAUACUGCUGACAUACACACUGGUACUGCUGACAUACACACUGGUACUGCAGACAUACACACUGGUACUGCAGACAUACACACUGCUGACAUACACACUGGUACUGCUGACAUACACACUGCUGACAUACACACUGAUACUGCUGACAUACACACUGGUACUGCUGACAUACACACUGGUACUGCUGACAUACACACUGGUACUGCAGACAUAUACACUGGUACCGCUGACAUACACACUGGUACUGCUGACAUACACACUGAUACUGCUGACAUACACACUGGUACCGCUGACAUACACACUGGUACUGCUGACAUACACACUGGUACUGCUGACAUACACACUGGUACUGCUGACAUACACACUGGUACUGCUGACAUACACACUGGUACUGCUGACAUACACACUGGUACUGCUGACAUACAAACUGGUACUGCAGACAUACACACUGGUACUGCUGACAUACACACUGGUACUGCAGACAUACACACUGCUGACAUACACACUGGUACUGCUGACAUACACACUGGUACUGCUGACAUACACACUGGUACUGCUGACAUACACACUGAUACUGCUGACAUACAAACUGGUAAUGCUGAUAUACACACUGGUACUGCUGACAUACACACUGCUGACAUACACACUGGUACUGCUGACAUACACACUGGUACUGCUGACAUACACACUGGUACUGCUGACAUAUACACUGGUACUGCAGACAUACACACUGGUACUGCAGACAUACACACUGGUACUGCUGACACGAGAACACACACACACACACCUCCUCUUCCUCUCUGCGAUCUCCUGGGUGAUGUUCACCCAGCGUGUGUUGAGGGUGUUGAGCUGUAG
Molecule: long non-coding RNA, 1488 nt
Filed under: Oncorhynchus kisutch (coho salmon)
Lineage: Eukaryota; Metazoa; Chordata; Actinopteri; Salmoniformes; Salmonidae
Description: lncRNA (ENSOKIG00005045406.1)
Source: RNAcentral